Non-coding RNA from Lasiosphaeria hispida, 83 nucleotides. The record is from the annotation of a GenBank genome assembly. NCBI's taxonomy places the organism in Eukaryota, Fungi, Ascomycota, Sordariomycetes, Sordariales, Lasiosphaeriaceae.
GCGUCAGUGGUUUAGUGGUAAAAUCCAUCGUUGCCAUGUAAUGUCAAUUCGAUGGGCCCCGCGUUCGAUUCGCGGCUGACGCA